Molecule: ribosomal RNA, 253 nt
Filed under: uncultured bacterium
Lineage: Bacteria
Description: partial 16S ribosomal RNA
Rfam family: Bacterial small subunit ribosomal RNA
Source: RNAcentral
UACAGAGGGUGCAAGCGUUAAUCGGAUUUACUGGGCGUAAAGCGUGUGUAGGUGGCUAUCUAAGUCGAUUGUGAAAGCCCUGGGCUCAACCUGGGAAUUGCAGUCGAUACUGGAAAGCUCGAGUUCGGUAGAGGGUGACGGAAUUCCCGGUGUAGCGGUGAAAUGCGUAGAUAUCGGGAGGAACAUCGAUGGCGAAGGCAAUCACCUGGGCCUGAACUGACACUGUGACACGAAAGCGUGGGUAGCAAACAGG